AUCAGCUGACGAGUCUCAAAUAAGAUGAAACGCGUAUCCUGUAU
This is a non-coding RNA of Schistosoma rodhaini, 44 nucleotides long. NCBI's taxonomy places the organism in Eukaryota, Metazoa, Platyhelminthes, Trematoda, Strigeidida, Schistosomatidae. The record is from Rfam.